UCAGUGACACAGAAGGAUAACUCGAGCAGGGUGAUGGUCAACCCUGUGCAAGCAUUGAGGUUGGGUUGUAGUGAAGUACGCAAUCCUAUAAGCUGAGAUGUGAUGCGGACCGAAAUUUCAGUAGGGAAGCGAGUGAGUUCACGCUGGCGAGAAAAGCUGCUAGUACAUCCAAAGGUACCCGUACCGGAAACCGACGCAGGUGGGCGAGGAGAGAAUCCUGAGACGAACGGGAGAACCCUUGUUAAGGAACUCGGCAAAAUGACCCCGUAACUUCGGGAUAAGGGGUGCCUGCGAGAGCAGGCCGCAGAGAAUAGUCACAAGCGACUGUUUAGCAAAAACACAGGUAUCUGCGAAAGCGAGAGCUGACGUAUAGGUGCUGACACCUGCCCGGUGCUGGAAGGUUAAGGGAACAUGUUAGAGCAAUCGAAGCAUCGAACCGAAGCCCCAGUAAACGGCGGCCGUAACAAUAUCGGUCCUAAGGUAGCGAAAUUCCUUGUCGGGUAAGUUCCGACCCGCACGAAUGGUGUAACGACUUGUGAGCUGUCUCAACAGGGGGCCCGGUGAAAUUGAAGUAUGGGUGAAGAUGCCCAUUACCCGCGACUGGACGGAAAGACCCCGUAGAGCUUUACUGCAGCCUGAUAUUGAGUUUCGGUAACUGAUGCACAGGAUAGGUGGGAGUCUGAGAGACAUGGGUUUCGGCUCAUGUGGAGACGGUGUUGGGAUACCACUCUUCGGUUACUGAAAUUCUAACAUAGCUCUGUGAAACCAGAGGAUGGACAGUGUCAGGUGGACAGUUUGACUGGGGCGGUCGCCUCCGAAAGAGUAACGGAGGCGCCCAAAGGUACCCUCAGAAUGGAUGGAAACCAUUCGAAGAGCGCAAAGGCAGAAGGGUGCCUGACUGCGAGAUUGACAAAUCGAGCAGAGACGAAAGUCGGGCUUAGUGAUCCGGCGGUAUUGAGUGGAAAAGCCGUCGCUUAACGGAUAAAAGCUACCUCGGGGAUAACAGGCUGAUCUCCCCCAAGAGUCCACAUCGACGGGGAGGUCUGGCACCUCGAUGUCGGCUCGUCGCAUCCUGGGGCUGAAGCAGGUCCCAAGGGUUUGGCUGUUCGCCAAUUAAAGCGGCACGCGAGCUGGGUUCAGAACGUCGUGAGACAGUUCGGUCCCUAUCCAUCGUGGGCGUAGGAGUCAUGAGAGGAGCUGUUCCUAGUACGAGAGGACCGGAAUGGACGCACCACUGGUGCAACUGUUGUCGUGCCAACGGCAUAGCAGGGAAGCGAAGUGCGGAUGGGAUAAACGCUGAAGGCAUCUAAGCGUGAAGCCCACCUCAAGAAUAAGACUCCACAAUAGACCCCUGGAGGACUACCAGGUAGAUAGGUCUUCGGUGGAAGCGCUGUAAGGCGUGUAGCUUGAUGAUACUAAUCGGUCGAAAGCUUC
Molecule: ribosomal RNA, 1434 nt
Filed under: metagenome
Description: bacterial LSU rRNA
Rfam family: Bacterial large subunit ribosomal RNA
Source: RNAcentral